CCAGGUGGGGUAAACGGAGAUAGAGAAGGGGUCGGUCAGGAGAUGCCGUUGGCAUAGUCACAGGAUACCGCACAUCUGCCCCGGGUGGUGGCGGCAGGCAGGCAGGGCUGGGGUCCGAGGGACCGGGAAGGAGCCCCUGUGGGAGGUGAGCCUGGGUGUCAGCCACGGCCUGCGGGUUUCCGCGUGUGGGUCCAUGUGGGAGUCACAGGGCGAGGAGUGACUUCGGCAGCAAAAUGCCUGUGUUUACAGGCUGGGCUAGAUGUCUGGAGCUUAUCUCUCUGUGGAAAUCCUUGUCACCCACUUGAGUAGCAUUUCCCUCUGUUUGUCCUUCUGAAAUGUCCUACAGGGAAGUGUCCCCCUGGGGCAGCGCCUGUAGCGACCUGGACGUUGGAGAAUGGGCUGGAUGCGAUGGGUGCGGAGAUCUUUCCGGAAGAAGCCCCGUCUGCUGCAGACCACAGCGCCAGCUUCCCGGCAGAUGCACUGGCCCCGGCGAGAGCUGGAGCGGCGGCGGGGAGGCCCACGGCCAGGAGCACGGUGCUCAGGAAGAAGGAGGCCCAGGCGCCAGCAAGGCUGCCUCAGGGUCUCCACAAGGCUGAAAGUAGACCGACCCGGUCUCAGAGCAGAAGCCGGUUGCAGCGCACGACAGUAUCGUCCAGACUGAAAAUGAACCAGCAGCCUGUGAGAGACAACAGGGCCCCUUGGGUGCCUCCAAACCCCACGUCCCCACCAGCAUCCCCUAAGUGCGCUGCCUGGCUGAAGGUGAAGCCGAGCCCCAGAGACGCCAGAAAGGAACAGUCACUGCAGCAGGACGAGGCCCAGGAGGAGACGUUGACGGGGGCGGUCGUGCAGGAAGCAGUGAGACUCGCUUGGCUCGACGCGGAAACCUGUAAGACAUUGAAGGAGCUGGAGGACCUGAAAGCUGAGGGCUCGGACAAGACGCAGAGGCGGAGUGUCUCGGACACCCAGUUAGCAGACAAGGUGGAGAAGGCGGUCCUGGAGCGUUUGAAGCCUCUCCUGGUCAAGGCCCAGAGAGUCAACUCUUCUCUGGAAGCAGACCCUCAGCUGAAGGACCGGCCGUCGGCAGACACGGCGACCGCCCGGCUCACAGAGGAGGCUGCGGCUGUGGACUGUGCACCCCACAGCCUUUGCCAGCUGGGGGACUCUUUGGGAGAUGCCGCUCAUGGGCCCCGGGUUGCGACCCACCGUGGGGUUUUGGAGUCGGAAGCCUCAGCUCCCGUGGGGGACGGCAGGGACAGCCCGUACCUGGAGACCCUGAUGCUGCGGAUGGAGGAGAUGGAGAAAUACCAGGAGGCGGUUCGCCAAAGAUACAAUAAAAUUGUAUAUGCUGACCCUCACCUUUGGACGCAGGAAGGAGAGACGGAGCAAACACUCCCAGCAGUAAGUGAAAGGCCUCUUUCUCCUCAUCCAAUCAGGAUCACAAAGACCUCAGCUCUCAAAGACCCAGACGUGAGCAUCGUGUUGGAAAGACCCCAGAAUGGCAAUUCCCUGGAUGAAAGUGUGGGGACUGACGAGGGGUCUGAGAAGAGAGGGGCUCCCCUUGCGCCCCUUCCAGAAGAGUGUCCGCAGAAGGAAGGCCGGGCUGCCCUGCACGUGCCCCUGGCUCUGCGGCACAGCAUUGGCGACUACUGCAGCCGCUUCGAGCGGUACCUCCGUCUGGUUGCGCACGAGGCCGUGGGCGCCUUUAACCCGUGGCUGAUGGCCGAGAGGCACGUGACCUGCGUGACCGCAAAGAAACAUCAGACAAGCCCAGAUUGGGGCACAUUCCACAAAUGAAGGCCCUGCUCUUUCGGAAAAUGUCAAGGUCCGGAAAGACAGGCUGAGGGACGCCUGCAGACUCGCGGGGGAGCUGGAGAGGCGGCGGGCAGCGGCUGGCCUGGGCUGGGUCCUGCUCCAGAGCAGACGCUGUGUGGACACUUGGCGGACGUGAGCACGUGUCUUGUCCGCAGCCACCUUGGGGGUUCCUGUCUCAGAGGAGCUUCUCCGACCAGCUGGUAGACGAGGCUCUGGGUGCCGUGGCUGCGGAGCUGGAGGACGCGUGCGAGGACUACGCGGAAGCCGUGUUCACCUCGGAGUUCCUGGAGGCCGCGACCUGAAGGCGCUGCCUCCGCGGCGGACCUCCUCCCCGGGUCUUGAGCUCGGCUGGCCCUCUGUGCCUCUGGGGUGCUCCCCGUGGGGGAGGGGGCCCCUCUUUGCAUCUUCUCGUGGUCCUGGCGACGGCUCUGGUGGUUGAUGAUGGAGGGCGAGGUGUUUCUCUGUGCCCGGGACUUGUGAAUUAUGACAAUAUAAUAGUUUCCGUAACUAUUCCCACGGUUAUUACCGUAACGCAUAACUUUCCCACUGACAUCCUGUGUUCAUUCCGCUGCCGAGUCUGGUGACCCGAGCGUUUGGAAAGGUGCCGGCAGGUGUGUUUCUCUCGAGGGCCCACGUUGCUGCUGAACCGCCAAUGCCCUUGGUGCCCCGAGUUCGCUUCCACCUGUCCCGGCCACGCCACAGCAUGCAGAUGGAGCCCGCAAGCCCUCGGCGUGUGGCGCCCCUGCCGAUCUCGGCCUCUGGCAGCCCUCCGCAUCGCGGCCUGCAGCCUUUUCUUGCCCUGAUGGAUGUGUUCUGAUGUCCAAACCGUCGGCACAUGGGCGCCAUCGGAGGCCGACGGGAGAGUCCUGAGCUGGCAUCCUGUGUGCGGGGCCAGCACGUUCCACGCCUGCUGACCCACAAGGAGCCCGGGCGGGAGGAGAGGACCGGCCUGGGUGCAGGAAGCCCUCCGGUCCCCCGAGAGAGAAAAACACAUAAGAGCCACAGUAGCUCGGUCCUCUCGUCCCCUCCAAACUGUUUCACCGAGGAAAUUCUCUGAUUUUUCAGAGAAAGAAAAGAAAUGUGCAUAAAAAUAAGGCCACUUCCUGGAAAAAGUGUCCCUCCGUGCGGCCUGGGCUCGGAGGAGCCGUGAAGGGUGAGUGACGCCAGGCUAGCCUGUGGAUAAUGUGAAUCUUUGUGACGCGUGCGGUGUUGCGUCUGGACUUUUCUCUGCAGCGUGUGUCUGAGGUGAGCGCGUGAGCGGCUGGGUCGCGUGUGUCAGCGGACCUUCUCCUGCAGCCUUGGCAUCACGGAGGCUCUCGGGUUAAAGGUCUUCAUCGUGCCAGUGACGCGUGUGCCCAAGUCGACGGCGGCGUCCGUAGCGUGGAGUAGUUUGUGUGGCAGUUUGUACUGCGCUGACUUUUUAAAUAAACUCAGGAUUUUACAGUAU
RNA transcript from Ailuropoda melanoleuca (giant panda), 3259 nucleotides. It is a transcript of the gene named KIAA0753 ortholog, with no coding region annotated. The transcript is spliced from 13 exons. The record is from RefSeq and is a predicted model, not a curated record. NCBI's taxonomy places the organism in Eukaryota, Metazoa, Chordata, Mammalia, Carnivora, Ursidae.